UUCAAAACUACGAUUUAUAAUUAAAAACAUGAACGGUUCAGGUUUAACAGAUUUGGUUCGUUCAUUGAUUUAAUCUUAUUUAACACCUUAACGAUCACCAAAUUGGCUGAAAAUUUGCAGAAUUGAUCUAUAUAUAAGGACCAACAAACUGAACGGUGAAUAUUCAAAAAUAUAAUCGAAAAGUUGGUGUAAUCCCCCAUCGCUCAUAUAUGUCAAAAAAAAGGAUCCUUUAGUGGAAGGGCCUUCUAUAUAUAGGGUUAAUGGCAGUAUUGUGGUUUUUUAAAAACAGUAGAGGUAAAAUGGUCAGCACACAAAUGCCACUGUUCAAUUGCAACACACAAAAUCACUGUUCACUUGCUUGUGAACAGUCAACCAUCCUAUAGUAUAUAGGUAAAUAUGUAUAAUUUCCAUAUAGUUCAUCCCUUUUGCCAAAGCACCUGACUUGGUGCCCGAUCUAGAACACGACCCACCACUGUACCCAACCCUCAUAUCCAUCACUCUUCUUCUUCCCACUCCCACUACCACCGUUGUCGCCGCUGCCAAUAUUCAUCCUCAUCCUCAUACUCAUAAAACUCCCUCCCACUGCUGCUCUUCCUCACUGACUCGAUUGACGCGUCGGGAUGCCGAACAGAUGCGCGCAUCCAGUUGAUGAGAGAAGAGGUGGCUUAUGUAGAGAGAGGAGUCGUCGGAAGAAUAAGGUUGAAGGUGGUGGAGGAUGACCUUUUGCCUAUUGAUUGGCUGGUAUGAAUAAGAUUCAUUGGCAAAAAGGUUGGAAGUGGUGGAGUUGUAGGGACGAUCAACGGUAUUUAUCUGUUCACCAAAAUAGAUUAAUCGACUCGAUCUGGGCUCUUGUUCUUAUCCCUAAUUUGAAGCAGAUCCUGCCGAAACAUUUUCAUCAAAGACGAAACUCGUUUCCCUAACGUUUCAGAUUUCUUCUUUUAUGGAAGCGCGUUUCGGGGCGUUUCGUUUCCGAAACGCGAAACAUCGGUAAUUUGACGUUUCUGUGCAACAGAGGUAUAUAUAGUCAUUAAGAUGACUAAUUUACCCUCAGACCAAAAACAAGUUUACCUUAAUUUUUUUUCCUUUAGUUUUUUUUUAAUUUUAAAAAAAACGUUUUAUUAAUAACUCACACACCCUACAUAUGUCAGUGAGGUUUGAA
This 1159-nucleotide long non-coding RNA is filed under the name Fragaria vesca (wild strawberry). RNAcentral describes it as "long non-coding RNA (FVES_LNC002471)". The record is from RNAcentral. Lineage: Eukaryota; Viridiplantae; Streptophyta; Magnoliopsida; Rosales; Rosaceae.